GAUGAACGCUGGCGGCGUGCCUAAUACAUGCAAGUCGAGCGAACAGACGAGGAGCUUGCUCCUCUGACGUUAGCGGCGGACGGGUGAGUAACACGUGGAUAACCUACCUAUAAGACUGGGAUAACUUCGGGAAACCGGAGCUAAUACCGGAUAAUAUAUUGAACCGCAUGGUUCAAUAGUGAAAGACGGUUUUGCUGUCACUUAUAGAUGGAUCCGCGCCGCAUUAGCUAGUUGGUAAGGUAACGGCUUACCAAGGCAACGAUGCGUAGCCGACCUGAGAGGGUGAUCGGCCACACUGGAACUGAGACAGGGUCCAGACUCCUACGGGAGGCAGCAGUAGGGAAUCUUACGCAAUGGGCGAAAGCCUGACGGAGCAACGCCGCGUGAGUGAUGAAGGUCUUCGGAUCGUAAAACUCUGUUAUUAGGGAAGAACAAAUGUGUAAGUAACUAUGCACGUCUUGACGGUACCUAAUCAGAAAGCCACGGCUAACUACGUG
RNAcentral lists this ribosomal RNA (497 nucleotides) under uncultured bacterium. RNAcentral's name for it is "partial 16S ribosomal RNA". It matches the Rfam family "Bacterial small subunit ribosomal RNA", at positions 28 to 507 of the family's 1533-position model. The record is from RNAcentral.